UACGGGGGGGGCAAGCGUUGUUCGGAAUUACUGGGCGUAAAGGGUUCGUAGGUGGCUUGCUAAGUCAGACGUGAAAUCCCUCGGCUUAACCGGGGAACUGCGUCUGAUACUGGCGAGCUUGAGUGCAGGAGAGGAACGCGGAAUUCCAGGUGUAGCGGUGAAAUGCGUAGAUAUCUGGAGGAACACCGGUGGCGAAGGCGGCGUUCUGGACUGCAACUGACACUGAGGAACGAAAGCCAGGGGAGCAAACGGG
Molecule: ribosomal RNA, 253 nt
Filed under: uncultured bacterium
Lineage: Bacteria
Description: partial 16S ribosomal RNA
Rfam family: Bacterial small subunit ribosomal RNA
Source: RNAcentral